Molecule: long non-coding RNA, 14859 nt
Filed under: Nicotiana benthamiana
Lineage: Eukaryota; Viridiplantae; Streptophyta; Magnoliopsida; Solanales; Solanaceae
Description: long non-coding RNA (NBEN_LNC025434)
Source: RNAcentral
UCCUAAUAAGUCCCCAAAUAUCAAUGCCCACCAAACCUUGAAAACUCCAUCGAUAUCCCCAAAGCCUUAUUGUCUUCUUUGCCAUACCGUAAGAAAAAAAUACCCAAAUCUGAAAAUUGGGUUUGAGUUAAGGUUUUAGAUCUGAAUUAUUUCCCUUUUAUAAGAGAAAAAAUUUAUGGAAUAAAUAUUGGAUGGUUUUAUUGUGCUUGAAAUCCGGUUGCUGCUUUGAUUCCCAAAUCGCACCUCGACUUCUCGACUGCUUGAAGGGAAAGCUGAACUCAGAUCCACCUUGACUGCUUGAAGCCAAAAUUUGGAAAAGACGAAAGGCAAAGUUUCCAACUGGAACAACAAUACAAAUAGGUACUCCUUGAAUAACCACUUUCAUUGCUUUCAUGUGUUUCAUAUUUCAUGAGCUUUCUCUACAAAUUCUUGAUUUUACCUUAAAUUGGGGUUUAAUUUUCAUAGUGAUUACCUUUAAGAUUUUUUAUAAUUUUAAUUUUCUCUUUAUUUUCUUCCUUCCCCAUUCUCAAGGCCACUCCUCGGAUUAGGGUUCUGUUUUGGGGUUUUCUCAAUUGUUCUUUGAGUGCUCUCCAACUUCUAUGUUGUAGGAUGGUUUGAAUUAUUAGGGGUUUAAGGAUCCGAGUUUGUUUUAUUAAGAGGAUUAAUAAUUUAUGCUUUUAUUUUGGGCUAAACUAGGAUUUUAUGUAUCUGGAAUCCCAACAAAUUAGCUCCUUUAAGUAACUUUUGAAAAUGCAUAUCAUUGUCAUAACAAUGAUAUUGAUUUAAACGACGUAUAAAGUCAAUCAUAGAGAAGUCCUAGCAAUUAAGAAAUUAAGAGAGGUCUGCUGCAUUUUUCCUAUAAUAGGAAAUCACAUUUACGGUUGCUUUCUUUGAAAUUAAAACAACGCAGAAGAAACAAGGGAAUUUAAGAAUUUUGUAAGGAAAAUCUGAGGGAAUUGUCUGCUAUUUACAUCCAAUAUAUUGGGUUUAAAUGAAGAUGUGCAACUCUUUAGAGUGACUAUUAUAACUACUCAGGUAGGAAUGAUCAUUAUGUUAAUGGCUAUUUACGCAAAAUAAAAUAGAAAAGUAAAAUGCGGAGGAAAAUUAAUUUAUCGUUACAAAAACAGAUAAUUUGGAUUAAAAUAAUAUUACGUUAAUCUUAAUAUUAAUAAAUAAAUUUUGUCUAAAAAGUUAAUCAAUCAAUCAGAUUAUUUGACCAAAUACAAAUAUGAAUUCGAAGCUGGCGAGCGAUGACGACAACAAUGACGACGAAGACGAAGACGAAGACGCGAGGCUUACUUUCUUAUUAACUCUUUAAGAUCUAAAAGAAGAGAAAUUGUAUAUAUACGUAUCAAAACUUGUCAGGACCCAAACCCGAUAGUGAUGGCGCCCAAUUAUAUAGCUAGGCAAGCCUGACCAAUUAUCACUCACAAACCCAACCUGAUAAUUCAUUACCGACAAUUUAAGGGAAAUUAACAGUUUAAAAUAUAAACCGGUGUUUAUAAUAAAAACAAUACGGAAUAAACCAAAAUAUCCGACAAAACACUCCCAACAGAAUCUGGGGUUACGAGUCUAGAGCCUCUGAACAACUCAGUAACAAUAUUCGAAAAUACAUAAGUCUAGAAUGCGGAAAUAAAACUGAAUAAAAGGGAGAAGUUUGGUCUUGCGGACGUCAACAGCUACCUCGACAACUCUGAUAAAACUCUGGAAGACACCGACUGCUCAUCUAAGUCUCCGGGACACCUGAAUCUGCACAUAUAGUGCAGAGGGUAAAGUGAGUACUUCCAACUCAGUGGUAACAAACAUGUAUAAUGACUGAAAGUAAGAAAUCCCGAAAUCCCACAAUGUAAAGCUGAAUCUAACCACUUAGCACAUUUAACGGUGAAACAACAAUAAAUCACUGACAAAUAGACAAAUAGAUAUCAAUGUAUGAAUGCAAUGCAAUGCACUUGACCGCUGCGACGUACAUCUCGAUCCAUUGGGUACCCGCGCUCACUGUAGAGGUUCAGACUCCGGAGGGGCUCCUACAACCCAAGCGCAAUGACAUAGUAGCAUUCGCUGCGGCGUGCAGUCCGUCCACAAUCAGUCCAAUUAUAUUCAUGCAUGACACACGGGCACAAUCAAGUUUACCAUUUUCAGUUCCAUUUAGUAUGUAUUAUAGUUUAAGUGAUUAACCUUAAAAGUUUACUAAUCUUUUCGAGGCAGUAUUUAACUCAGGAUUGAUAUCAUGGAAACAUUCUCAAUAUAAUGGAAACAGUGAUAAUAAUCCCUAAGGGAUCCAAAUAAUCGGCACGUAGCCCAAAUAUGCUCAUAACAAUCCAAGUAGGUUGUUUACCAAUCAAUUCCUAGUCGAUAACAAAGUAUGGACAGCACUCGGACAGACUAAGCCAUAUUCCCCGUCCACAAAUAACCCCGCACUCACCUUAGAGUACGUGUCUCACCUUAAUACAGCGUCACAAUGUGAGAUACCGGGAUUUCAAACCCUCAGGUCAUCAUCUACAUUUAUUACUCACCUCAAGCCGGCUGUAGACUACUCCGCAAUGCCCUUUCCUCUUAAAUCGACCUCCUGGUGCAUCGAAUCUAGUCAAACCACAACGAAUAUAUUUGUAUAUGCUAAAGAAAUGUAACCCAAUCGAAAUUACUCGAAAAAUACUAAAAUUCACGAAGUUGACAAAACCCGAGCCCCAGGCCUAUUUCUUGAAAAUUACGAAAUUCACAUCACUGGAUUCCUCGUCUCUCCACGAGUCUAUACAUAUGAAUUUACUAAAAUCGGAGUUCGUUUGCCCCUCUAAAACUCAUAUUUAAACUCUCUUGAGUUUCAAGCCCUAACCUCCAUUUUUAAUCUUUAAAUCCUUGAAAUUCAGUGAUUAAGCAAUGUUUUUACACCAUACUAACAUAUUCCGAGGCUAAUAAUUCAUACCUGAUGAAGCUCCUUCGAUUUCUCCUCCAAAUCGCCCAAGAAUAACCCUAGUCGAAGUCCUAAAUGUUUUCACUUAUUUAAAAAUCAUGAACUACUGUUCACUAAAAUCCUUGGUCGUUUUCCGCUUAUGCGGUCCAAUAACCGCACAUGUGAUCCCACACACGCGACCAGUCGACCGCUAAUGCGGUCUUCACUUAAAAUUCUAUUAGAUCGCUUAUGCAGUUUCUCACAACCGCUUCUGCGGUAGAUUAUCUGCUUAUGCGGUCCCGCAGAAGCGAUCUCUCCUCCGCUCAGAAAUUUCCUGGGCCACUCCUUUCCUCUUCUGCGACCUUCCCACCGCAUCUGUGGAACCGCCUAUGCGGCCCCUUUUUCCGUAGAUGCGGAAACAACAAACACCAGAACUCUGUUUCAUGCAACAACUCCAAAAACCUCCGUUCAACCACCCGAAUUCAACACAAAGCCCCCGGGACCCCAACCAAAUUCACAGACAUGAUCUAAUAGUUCAUUCAAACUUGCUCGAAUCAUCAAAACACUAACUUUAACAUCAAACUCCUCAAUUAUGAUCAAAUCAAUGCAUAAAUUUCUUAAAAACUUUCGAAUUGCAUAUUUGAUCAAAAAUCCGACCUAAACACCUCUGAAUUACUUGAAACUUUGCAAGCAUAUCCAAAAUCACCUAACAGAGCUACUGCAACUCUCGGAAUUUCAUUCCGACCCUCGGAUCAAAAUCUCACUGAUCAAUCGAAAUUCGCCAAAAUUCAAACUUAGCCAAUUCAAGCCUAAUUCUAAAUUGGACCUCCAAAUUCAUUUCUGAUUGCACUCCUAAGUCACAAAUCAUCCCCCAAAGCCAACCGAAUUAUCAAAAUUCACAUCCGAGCCCUCUAACUAAAUAGUCAACUCCUAGUUGACUUUUGCCAAAACAAGCUUCCCUUUAAGAGACUAAGUGCCUCAUUUCCAACUAAAACCAAUCCAAUCCUACCCAAUUAACUCAAAUACUGAUAUUGAAACAAAGUGAACAUAGUAUGAGGGAAACGGGGCGGUAACUCACGUGACGACGGGACGGAUCGUCACAUCCUCCCAACUUAAACAAAUGCUCGUCCUUGAGCGGGUCAAGAAACAUACCUGGAGUCUCAAAGAAGUGAGGAUAUCUGCUCCGCAUCUCCUGCUCGGUCUCACAAGUGGCCUCCUCCACAAGCCGACGUUUCCACUGCACCUUUACCUAAGCUAUGUCCUUUGAUCUCAACUUUCGAACCUGAUGAUCCAAAGUAGCCACUGGCUCCAUAUCUUAUGUCAAGUCCUCAUCCAAUUGGAUCGUGCUGAAGUCUAAUACAUGAGACGGGUCCCCAACAUACUUCCGGAGCAUAGAAACAUGGAACACCGGAUGAACUCCCGACAAGCUGGGUGGCAAAGCAAGCAUAUAGGCCAUCUCCCCAUUCCUCCUAAGUAUCUCAAAAGGUCUAAUGAACUGUGGACUCAGCUUUCUUUCUUCCCAAACCUCAUAGCACCCUUCAUAGGAGAAACCUUCAAUAAGACCUUUUCGCCCACCAUAUAAGAUACAUCUCGAACCUUCUGGUCCGCAUAACUCUUCUGACGUGAUUGAGCUGUACGAAGUCUCUCCUGGAUCACUUUCACCUUCUCUAAGGCAUCCUGAACUAACUCUGUCCCCAAUAAUCUAGCCUCACCGGGCUCAAAUCAAUCAACCAGAGAUCUACACAGUCUCCCAUAUAAGGCCUCAUAUGGCGCCAUCUGAAUACUGGAUUGAUAGCUGUUGUUACAAGAAAACUCUGCAAGUGGCAAGAACUCAGCCCAAGAACCUCCAAAAUCAAUAACACAUACACGUAAGAUCUCCUCCAAUAUAUGGAUAGUACACUCGGACUGUCCGUCCGUCUGAGGAUGAAACGUCGUGCUCAACUGUACUUGUGUGCCCAACACCUGAUGAAAGUCCUCCAGAAUUGGGAAGUAAACUGAGUACCCCUAUAUGAGACAAUGGAAACUGGGGCCCCAUGCAACCGUACAAUCUCCCGAAUGUAAAUCUCCUCUAACCGCUCCGAGAAAUAGGUGGUACACACCGGAAUGAAGUGCACAGACUUGGUCAGCCUAUCCACAAUCACCCAAANNNNNNNNNNNNNNNNNNNNNNNNNNNNNNNNNNNNNNNNNNNNNNNNNNNNNGGAAUGAAGUGCACAGACUUGGUCAGCCUAUGCACAAUGACCCAAAUCGAAUCAAAAUUCUUCGAGGUACGAGGGAGACCAGUCACAAAAUCCAUAGUAAUCCUCUCCCAUUUCCACACCGGAAUAUCCAUCCGCUGAAGUACACCACUGGGCCUCUGAUGUUCAUAUUUGACCUGCUGACAGUUGAGACACCGAGCCACAUAACUCCACCAGUAAUAUUAUCUCAAAUCGUGGUACAUCUUCGCGGCACCCGGAUGAAUGGAAUAUCGCGAACUGUGGGCCUCCUCUAAUAUCAACUCUCGGAGCUAAUCCACAUUGGGCACGCAAAUCCGGCCCUGCAUUUGAAACACACCAUCAUCACCAAUGGUCACAUCUAUGGCAUCGUCAUACUGGACCUUGUCCUUCAGGACAAGCAAAUGCGGGUCAUCAUACUGGCGCUCUCUAAUGCGGUCAUACAAAGAAGAUCGGGAAACCACUCAAGCCAACACCCAACUGGGCUCAAAAAUAUCUAAUCUCACCAUCCGAUUGGCCAAGGCCUGAACAUCAACUGCAAGGGGCCUCUCUCCAACUGGAAUGUAUGCCAAGCUACCCAUAGUAACCGUCUUCCGGCUCAAAGAAGCGGCCACUACAUUGGCCUUCCCCGGAUGAUACAGAAUGGUAAUGUCAUAGUCCUUGAGUAACUCAAGCUACCUCCGCAGCCUCAAAUUAAGAUCCUUAUGCUUGAACAAGUGCUGAAGACUGCGAUGGUCUGUGAACACCUCACAAGAUACGCCAUAUAGAUAGUGCCUCCAAAUCUUCAAGGCAUGAACUAUAGCAGCGAACUCUAAGUCAUGAACAAGUAGUUUUUCUCAUUGGGGCUUUAAUUGAUGAGAAGCAUAAGCAAUAACUCUAUCCUCCUGCAUCAAUACACAACCAAUCCCAACUCUCAAAGCAUCACAAUACACCGUGUAAGAACAUGACGCUGAUGGCAAUACUAGUACCAGAGCUAUGGUCAAAGCUGACUUGAGCUUCUGAAAGCUCUCCUCGCACUCAUCCGACCACACAAAUGGAGCAUUCUUCUGCGUCAACUUCGUUAAUGGCGAAGCAAUAGAUGAAAAACCCUAUGACAACCUGCAGUAAUAAUCCGCCAAACCGAGGAAAAUCCGAAUCUCAGUAGUUGAGGAUGGUCUAGGCACUCUACACCGCCUCAAUAUUCUUUGGAUCCACCUAAUACCAUCACUGUACACCACGUGUCCCAGAAAAGCUACAAAACUAAGCCAGAACUUACACUUGUAGAACUUUGCAUAGAGUUUCUCCUAUCUCGGUCUUUGCAAUACCACCCUCAAGUGCUGCGCGUGCUCCUCAUGGCUACGCGUGCUCCUCAUGGCUACGGGAGUACACCAAAAUAUCACCAAUAAACACGAUCACAAAUGAAUCCAGAUACGACCAAAGUACACUGUUCAUCAAGUGUAUGAACGCGGCUGGGCAUUAGCCAGCCGAAUGACAUCACUAGAAACUCAUAGUGCCCAUAUCUCAUCCUGAAAGCCGUCUUCAUAAUGUCUGAAUCCCUAAUCUUCUGCUGGUAAUAGCCUGAUCGGAGGUCAAUCUUAGAGAAUACCUUUGCUUCCUGAAGCUGAUCAAACAAAUCCUCAUAUGGGGUAGUGGAUACUUGUUCUUCACCGUCACCUUGUUCAACUGUUUGUAGUUAAUGCACAUUCUGAUUGUGUCAUUCUUCUUCUUUACAAAUAAGACCGAUUCACCCCAUGGUGACGCACUCGGGCGAAUGAACCCCUUAUCUAGGAGUUUAUGAAGCUACUCCUUCAACUCUUUUAGCUUUGCUGGUUCCAUACGAUAGGGAGGAAUAGAGAUGGGCUGAGCGCCCAGCACCAGAUCAAUACCGAAGUCGCUAUCCCUGUCCGGCGGCAUGCCCGGCAGAUCUGCUGGAAACACAUCAGGGAACCGAAUCAAGACUAGGAGCCUCAGUUCCAACAUCUCUAAUGAAAGCCAAGUACGAUAAACAACCAAUCUCAACCAUCCGCUGGGCCUUUAAGAAAGAAAUUACACUACUGGGCACAUAAUUAGUCACGCCUCACUACUUGAUCCUCGGAAUACCUGGAAUAGCCAACAUAACUAUCUUGGCAUGACAUUCCAGAAUAACAUAGUACGCGGAUAGCCAAUCCAUACAUAUUAUCAUGUCGAAAUCCACUAUACCCAAUAAUAACAAGUCAACUCGGGUCUCCAGACCCCCAGCAGUCACCAGACACGAUCAAUAUACAUGAUCCACAAUAAUAGUAUCACCCACCGGGGUAGAUACGUGUACAGGCAAGGCAAGACAACCACUGGUCGUACCCAAAUGAUAAGCAAAUAUAAAGAUACAUAAGAAUAGGUAGAUCCAGGAUCAAACAAAAUAGACGCAUCUCUAUGGAAGACUGAGAUAAUACAUGUGAUAACAACAUCUGAUGCAACGACGUCCCUCGUAUCUGGGAGAGCAUAGAAUCGAGCAUGACCACCGCCAGUUCGAUCUUCACCCUUGGGGCGAAACUCUGGAUACAUGGCCUCCAUCCACUAGCUGACUGGGUGGGUGUUGAAGAAACAUGAGCAGAAGAUGAGGGCUGAUCCCUCUGCUGAGACUGCCUACCGCGGAGCCGAGGAUGCUGUCUCCUCAUAUGACCUAACUCACCACACUCGUAGCAGCGACCUGGAGCUAAAGAAGGGGACUGAAGGGAACCCUUCGCAGCAGAUGAACCCUGGGCUGAAAGGGCUGGAGUAGUACUCUGAGAUGGAAGGGCGCUAAGUGAAGACUGGCCCUGCUGAUAACCCUGAUGACCACGGCCCGAAGAAGCCCCACUGUACUCUGUACGACCUGACUAAGGAGGUCUGAAGUAACAACCUCUGCUGCACUGGAACUGGCCCCUAGACGGAGCACCGUUGAAACUUCCUUAACCUCGAGGGCUCUUGGCCUCUCUCUCCUCACACUCUCGACGAUGAUCUGUCUCAAUCUUGUGAGCCAUACCAACUACCUCCUCAAACGAGGCGGCCACAACUGUCUCUAGUCAUCAAAAUGCGAAUGGGAUAGUUGAGGCUAUCCACGAACCUCCUAAUCCUUUCCUGAUCAGCGGGGAUCAUCCAAGUAGCAUGCCGAGCAAGUUGUGUAAACCUCAGCUCAUUCUGGGUCACAGUCAUGUCCCCCUGAACCAUCCACUCAAACUGACAACGCAGCUCCUCCCUGCGAGACUGGGGCACAUACUUCUCCAGAAAGAGAGCGGAGAACUGCUGCCAAGUAAUGGGCGCUGCUCCAAUAGGCAUAUGCCUCUCAAACUCCUCCCACCAAGUAAAUACAAGCCCUAAGAACUGGAAAGUAGUAAAAGACACUCCACUCGACUCCAAUAUUCCUGCAACGCGAAGCAUACACUGACACUUGUCUAGAAAUUCCUGGGCAUCCUCGCCCUCAUUACCACUGAAAGUCGGAGGCUGGAGCCUGCCAAACCUCUCCAGUCGACGCUGCUCAUCGUCUGGAAUAGCUGGAACCACAAGGUCUGGAGCUGGUGCGACUGGCGCAACUGGGGCAAUUGGUGCAACUAGUGCAACUCCCGGUGUCUACAACCCUGGACACCCUGCUCGAGUGUAUGAGCAGCGGGGGUCUGCUGACCACUCCCGGUCUGAGAAGUAGCUACUACAGUAGUGGCUGAUACAGCCUGAGCCAAGCUAGUGCAGAUGUACAAGAUCUGAGCCAAAGCCUUCUGAAAACUAGGAAUCACAAUGGGCACUGCCGGAGCCUGGACAGGUGCUGCUGGAGCAUCUACAACUGGAGGCCGAUCCUGAACCUGGGCAGUUGGUGGAUCUGCAAGUGCCGCCCUUGCUGGUUUACCUCGACCGCGACCGCGAGUACGGGCCCUAACGGGUUCCAAAGGUGGUCGUUUGUCACGUCCAGUAGCACAGGUUCUCGCCAUUUGCGAGAGAAUAGAAUAGAAAAGUUUAGGUUCCAGAACAAUAAAGCCGCACGACAAGAGUUCAAGAAUAUGAAGUAUUUCCUAUAGGUUCUGCUGCCUCUCGAGGAUAAAUACAGACGUCUCCGCAACGAUCCACGAGACUCUACUAAUCGGCUCAUGACUCAUGAGGCCUAGUAACCUAGGCUCUGAUACCAACUUGUCACGACCCAAACCCGGUCGUGAUAGUGCCCAACCAUAUAGCUAGGCAAGCCUGAUCAAUUAUCACUCACGAACCCAACCUGAUAAUUCAUUGCUGACAAUUUAAGGGAAUUAACAGUUUAGAAUAAUACGCGGAUGUUUAUAAUAAAAACAAUACAGAAUAGACCAAAAUAUCUGACUUCUCCCCUUUAUUCAGUUUUAUUUCCGCAUUCUAGACUUGUGUAUAUUCAAAUAUUGUUACUCUGUUGUUUAGAGGCUCUAGACUCGUAACCCCAGAUUCUAUUGGGAGUGUUUUGUCGAAUAUUUCGGUUUGUUCCGUAUUUUUUUAUUAUAAACAUCGGCUUAGUAUUUUAAACUAAUAAUUUCCCUUAAAUUGUCGGUAAUGAAUUAUCAGGUUGGGUUCGUGAGUGAUAAUUGGUCAGGCUUGCCUAGCUAUAUGGUUGGGCGUCAUCACGACCGGGUUUGGGUCGUGAAAAAACUCUUUUUCUCAUCCAAUAUGGGAUAAUGUCCCUUUGAGAAUGAGGAAAAUUAAAAUAUUUAAUUUUUCCCUCUAUUUUCCAUUUACUCUUUAUUUUAAGCUAACCAAGCUUAAACCUAACAAUCACCCACAUGAAUGGGGAAUGACUAUAUCACGAAAAUAUGCAUAAAAAGCUAUUUGAUUCACAAGCAAGGAUCAAUAGUAUCUGGAUAAGUAGGUUUUCCUUUGAACUUUCCGCAGUGAACUUAUAUUGGAUAUACUUGGUCAGUCGAUAGAUUUGAUAUCUUGAAUCGUUAAACUUUGGUGUAUACCUAGACAACCAUAAGUCACAAAUCAACCCUUAACCGUCUUUGGUUCUCAUUGUUGUGUUCGUUUCGGUCAUGAACACCUCCUUGUUUCAUAAGUGCAUAGAGAACUGAUGUUAUGAAAUUCUCCUUGAACCGGCUAACACUUCACACUUACAUAGGUGAUUCCUAAACGUGUCAUCCCUCAGAUACACUAUUUGAUAUACCCCGUAUCAAAUUUAGAAACCAUUUAAAAGCCUUAAUGCUUUAUCCUUGGUACUAAACAUUGUCUCAUCAUGAGAAUGGACCAAAAUUUUUAGUUGACAUUUUUGAACCAUCACUAAUGAAUUUGUUUGAUCUCCUUGAACCUAGAUCUUUGGAUCUCUAGUCUUCUAGGUAAAUUUACCACCACAAUGACUUAUCCUCGGCCAUAGUACAUCCCCUCAAUGAUUUCUCAACUACCUCUCUAGUUAGGCUUUUCAUAAGUGAAUCCGAUACAUUAUCUCACUUGUCUUUACGUAGUCAAUAGUGAUAAUUUAUCUAAAGAAUAAUUGCCUAAUGAUUUUAUGUCUUCUUCGUAUAUGACGAGAUUUAUCGUUAUACAUAAUGCUCCCAACCUUUCCAAUUGCCGCUUAACUAUCACAAUACAUACAUAUUGGGCCAACGGUUUGGUCAAAAAUGGAAUAUCUUUCAAGAAAUUUCAGAGCUAUUCAGCUUCUUCACCAGCUUUAUCUAAGGCUAUGAACUCAGCUUCCAUUGUUGAGCGGGCAAUACAAGUUUGUUUAGAUGACUUCCAAGAUACCGCUACUCCACCACGAGUGACUACAUAUCCAUUUGUGCACUUGGAAUCAGUUGAACCGAUAAUCCAAUUUGCAUAACAAUAUCCCUCAAUCAUCGCAUGAUAUUUACUGUAGUGCAUAGCAAAGUCCUAGUAUGUUCUAAAUAUCCCAAAACUCGUUUCAUUACCGUCCAAUAAAAUUGUCCUAGAUUACUCGUGUAUCGACUCAAUUUACUUAUAGCACAAGCUAUAUCUGGUCUUGUACAAUCCAUGAUAUACAUUAAACAACCUAACAUAUGAUCAUAAUCCAAUUGUGAUAUCCUUUGGCCUUUGUUCUUUACUAGUGCAAGAUCCACAUCAAUUGGAGUCUUCGCAACUUUAAAAUCUAAGUGCUUAAAUUUUCCAAGUACUAUUUUAAUGUUAUGAGAUUGUGACAAUGCCAAACCUUGAGGAGUCUAAUGGAUCUUAACACCCAGAAUUAAAUCGACAACUCCCAAGCCUUUCAUAUCAAACUUGCUAGUUAGCAUACGUUUAGUCGCAUUUAUGUUGGAAAUAUCAUUACUCAUCAUUAUCAUAUCAUCCAUAUAUAAGCAAACAAUGACUAUGUAAUUUGAAAUAUUUUUAAUGUACACACAUUUAUCAUAUUUAUUUAUCUUAAAAUCAUUUGACAACAUUAUUUGGUCAAAUUUCGUAUACCAUUGUUUUGAUGUUUGUUUUAGUCCGUAAAGGGACCUAACAAGUCCACACAUCUUCUUUUCUUUACCCAAAAAAUCCUUUGGUUGUUCCAUGUAGAAUUCUUCUUCCAAAUAUCUAUUUAAGAAGGCCAUCUUAACAUCUAUUUGUUGAAUUUCAAGACUAUAAACAACAGCUAAUGCUACUAAUGUUCGUAUGGAUAUAAUUCUUGUAACUAGAGUGUAUGUAUCAAAAUAGUUAAGCUCUUCUCAUUAUCUAUACCCUCUGACCAUAAAUUUUACCUUAUAUUUAUCAAUAGUGCCAUCAUCUUUCAUUUUCCUCUUAAAAAUUCAUUUAUACCCUAAUGGUUUAUUUCCAGGAGGAAGAUCAACCAAUUCCCAUGUAUGGUUGUUCAAUAUAGAUUCUAUUUUACUAUUGGCUGCCUCCUUCCAAAGUAAUGAUUCCCAUUAGACGUAAGAAUGGCUUCCACCCACAAGUUCUAUGGCAAACUAGAACUUAUCAAUAAGGCACUCAUCAUCUCCUUUAAUGAAUGAUUUCUGCAAUCUCAUUGGAUUGGGGCAUGUAAAGGGCCAUUGAUUUGUAACGACCCGACCAGUCGUUUUGAGUUUUUGCACUCGAUCAUCUGCCCUCGGGCAUGACUUGCCCUAUUGGGUGUAUUAUGACUUAGGUAACUCUUUGGCUUUGGUUUUCACAGUAAUUAGAAUGAAUUUGGAAUAACAACUCUCAGUUUAAAACUAAAAAUUGGAAAGGCUUGACCAAGAUUUGACUUGUUUGUAUAUGAUCUCGGAUCAGAAUUUUUAUGAUUUUGCUAGCUUCUAUGGGGUGAUUUGGGACUUAGGAGCAUGAUCGGAAUGCAUUUUGGAAGUCCGUGGAAGGUUUAGGCUUGAAUUGGCGAAAUUGAGAUUUCCGCAUCUUCCGGUUGAUAUGUGAGAUUUUGAUAUAGUGGUCGAAAUAAAAUUCCAAGAGUUGCAGUAAAAUUGUUGCGUCAUUUGUGAUGUAUGUGUAAAAUAUUAGGUCAUCUGUACGUGGUUUGGUUGUGUUUUUUAGCAAAAGCGUAUUUCAUAAGAUUUUUGAAACUUAGGCUUGAAUUCGAUGUGCUUUGGGUGAUUUGAUGUUGUUUGAAGUGUUUUGAUAAUUGGAAUAAGUUUGAAUAAAGUUUUAGGUCAUGUUUGUGCUUUUAGUUGAAGUCCAUGGGGCCUCAGGGUGAUUUCGGAUGGUUGACAGAAAGAUUUGAGACUUUUGAAAUUUCAGAAAGUUGUUGCUUCGGGUGUUUUCGGACCUACGGUUUGGGAACCGCAUGUGCGGUGCCGCAUGUGUGAGAGAAUUGGCCACAGAAGUGAAAAGUUGAGCAGGUGUGCUGUGACCAUAAGAUUGGUAGGGAGACCGCAUCUCCGGCGUCGCAGAUGCAGAAUUUUUGCCGCAAAUGCGGUUUAGGCCGGAUUAAUGAAUUUCCUUAGAAGCGGAUGAGUUAAUCACAAAUGCGGUACUCUAGAUGCGGAAAGACCUGGGCAAAAUGUAUAUAUUUCUUCCUUCGCAAUUUUUGAAGGGUUUAACCAUUUUUAAACUCGGGAUUGGGAGCUUUGGGCGAUUUUUGAGAGAGGAAUCAAAUGGACAACCUAAAAAUACUUAUAUGGUAAUAUUUCAUGGAUUAAGACUGGAAUUAAUGAAUUAAAGGAUAAAAAAUAGAGGUUUACAGAUUGAGUUUAAGAGUGCUUUAAAUGAAGAUUUGAGGGAUCAUUCGAACUCCGAUUCGGAUGUUUUUUAUAUGUAUGAACACGUGGGGAGAUAAGGAACCCGUUGAUGUAAAAUAUUUUGAGUUUCGAGAAGUGGGGUUGGGGCUCAAGUUUUGGUAAUUUGAGUUUUGUUCCCUUAGCAUAUUUUGAUGUUCUUGUUCUGAUUUUUGGAUUGAUUCGACGAGCGUGGAUGCCGAUUUGAGAGACAAAGCAUCGCGAUCUAUUGAUUUAGCCUGUUCGAGGUGAGUAAUUAUUGUAAAUGAUGCUCUCAGGGUUUGAAACCCCGAAUUGCACAUCGUAGUGCUACAUGAGGUGAGACACACGCUCGAUGACGAGCGUGGGGUCGUGCACGAUUGGGAAUUGUGAGUUGGUCCGUCUCGAUUUAUGAUUUUACCGCGUAUUUGAUUGAAAACUAUUUGCUAUUAUUAUUAUUUGGGCUGAAUGCCAUACUUGGGCCUAAUGCCAACAAUUUGAACCCUUCAGGGCUUGUUAUUGAUAUUUCCUCACUGUUUUGACUUCAUACUUGACUCAUUCAUGUUAUUUUCCACUAUUUUCAAUACUCAACCACGUUUACUUUGCUUUAUCACUUGAAAUGAUAUUUCAAAUAAUAUUUUUGGGAUGAGCAUCAUGUUUUACUAUUGCCCGAGAGGCUUAUGUAAUUUUGGACUGAGUGAGGCCGAGAGCUUGUGUUGUGAUGAUAUCUUUUUAGCUUGGGUUGCACGCCGCAAUAUUGAUAUACUGAUCUGAUUAUGAGGUCGAGGGUCUGAGAUAUAUACACCACGAGGUGGCUUGUUGAUAUUGAUAUGAGGCCGAGAGGUUGUCUAUGAUGCCACGAGGUGGCUUGAUAUUGCGCGUGGGAUCCUCCCGGAGUCUGUACACCUCCAGUAAGUGCGGGUACCCAUUGUGAUUUGAUAUUUUGCUCAAGGGGCUGGUAUAGUUCUAAGACAUUGCCCGAGGGGCGGAUUUGGUAACGUUGUGCCCGGGCGGCAAAUCUUAUGUGCUUAUCUUUCUUAUUUGCCUGUCAUGACCUAUUUAAUUGACUAAUUGUGCCUGAGGGGUGGAUUUCUAUGCUUAUCUGCACUAAUUGUUUUGCGUCCAAUUGCGUAACUAUUGAAAAAUCAUUUUAAAAGAAGUUCAAACCGAGUUAAGAUGUUGUAGGAGAUUUUAUAGCUUCGUUGCUUUUUUUUUUAUUGGUUUUUGAACUGCUUCCACACAACAUCUUGAUAUGCUUACGUGAUUUCAUGCCAUUCAGACUUUAGUUAUGAUUUACUCACUGAUUCAGAGUACUCACUUUACUCCCUGUACCUUGUGGGCAGAUUCAGGCAUUUUUAAACCCAGUUGCGGGUUUUGGUUGAUACUAGACAGAGUCCUCGGAGUUUAGCAAGGUAGCUGGCGACGUUCGCAGUAAUGCUUUUCUCCCUCUUUACUUCACUAAUUUGUAUUUUGUACACUUGAGACUUUCAGUUGUAUUUAGUCCCUAGUAGAUGCUCGUGACUUGUGACACCCCGAUGUCGGACUGUAUUUGUUUCUACAGUGUUCAUUUAAACUCAUGUUAUGCAAUAUCUAAUUAAAUGAAAAGGCAUUAAUAUGAUUUAUUAAAAAUUGUUGAAUUGAAAUUAGGAAAUUAUGUCCGUUGGCCUUGUCUUCACGAGAGGCGCCAUCAUGAUCGGGCCGAUUGGG